GCAAACUUGGUCAUUUAGAGGAAGUAAAAGUCGUAACAAGGUCUCCGUUGGUGAACCAGCGGAGGGAUCAUUAUCGAGUUUCGUACUCCAAACCCACUGUGAACUACUCAACUGUUGCUUCCGGCGGACGGCUCCCCUUUUGGGGGGACCAUGCCGCCCCGGCGCUCCGGGGUGUCUGCCGGAAGGUCAUAUCAAACUCUUUUUUAAAAAGAUGCUCUGAGUAUUUAUACAAAUAAAUUAAAACUUUCAACAACGGAUCUCUUGGCUCUGGCAUCGAUGAAGAACGCAGC
Molecule: unclassified non-coding RNA, 290 nt
Filed under: uncultured fungus
Lineage: Eukaryota; Fungi
Description: partial contains small subunit ribosomal RNA, internal transcribed spacer 1, and 5.8S ribosomal RNA
Rfam family: Eukaryotic small subunit ribosomal RNA (bases 1-73)
Source: RNAcentral